Molecule: non-coding RNA, 75 nt
Organism: Podarcis lilfordi (Lilford's wall lizard)
Lineage: Eukaryota; Metazoa; Chordata; Lepidosauria; Squamata; Lacertidae
Source: the annotation of a GenBank genome assembly
GGAAGGGUUGUAGUUCCAUGACAGAACAUCUGUUUUGUGAGCAGAAAGCCUCUGGUUCAAUCCCUGAUAUUUCCA